UACGUAGGGUGCGAGCGUUAAUCGGAAUUACUGGGCGUAAAGCGUGCGCAGGCGGUUUUGUAAGCCAGAUGUGAAAUCCCCGGGCUUAACCUGGGAAUGGCAUUUGGGACUGCAAGGCUGGAGUGCGGCAGAGGAGACUGGAAUUCCUGGUGUAGCAGUGAAAUGCGUAGAUAUCAGGAGGAACACCGAUGGCGAAGGCAGGUCUCUGGGCUGACACUGACGCUGAUGCGCGAAAGCCAGGGGAGCGAACGGG
RNAcentral lists this ribosomal RNA (253 nucleotides) under uncultured bacterium. RNAcentral describes it as "partial 16S ribosomal RNA". It matches the Rfam family "Bacterial small subunit ribosomal RNA", at positions 524 to 776 of the family's 1533-position model. The record is from RNAcentral.